RNAcentral lists this ribosomal RNA (253 nucleotides) under uncultured bacterium. Its description in RNAcentral is "partial 16S ribosomal RNA". It matches the Rfam family "Bacterial small subunit ribosomal RNA", at positions 524 to 776 of the family's 1533-position model. The record is from RNAcentral.
UACGGAGGGUGCGAGCGUUGUCCGGAAUCACUGGGCGUAAAGGGCGCGUAGGCGGCGCGGGCAGUCAACGGUGAAAGCUCGGGGCUCAACCCCGAGUCGGCCGUCGAUACUCCCGUGCUUGAGCACUGUAGAGGCAGGUGGAAUUCCGGGUGUAGCGGUGGAAUGCGUAGAGAUCCGGAAGAACACCGGUGGCGAAGGCGGCCUGCUGGGCAGUAGCUGACGCUGAGGCGCGACAGCGUGGGGAGCAAACAGG